ACGGGUGAGUAACACGUGACUACUACCCUCGAGUGGGGAAUAACUCCGGGAAACCGGGGCUGGUACCGCAUAACAUCGAGAGAUCAAAGCAGCAAUGCGCUUGAGGAGGGGGUCGCGCCUGAUUAGCUAGUUGGUGGGGUAACGGCCCACCAAGGCGAAGAUCGGUAGCCGGCCUGAGAGGGCGCACGGCCACACUGGAACUGAAACACGGUCCAGAGCGUCCUACGGGAGGCAGCAGUGGGGAAUUUUGCGCAAUGGGGGAAACCCUGACGCAGCAACGCCGCGUGGAGGAUGAAGUCCCUUGGGAUGUAAACUCCUUUCGAUCGGGACGAUUUAUGACGGUACCGGAAGGAAGAAGCACCGGGUAAACUCUGUGCCAGC
Molecule: ribosomal RNA, 381 nt
Filed under: uncultured bacterium
Lineage: Bacteria
Description: bacterial SSU rRNA
Rfam family: Bacterial small subunit ribosomal RNA
Source: RNAcentral